RNAcentral lists this long non-coding RNA (1160 nucleotides) under Olea europaea subsp. europaea. Lineage: Eukaryota; Viridiplantae; Streptophyta; Magnoliopsida; Lamiales; Oleaceae. The record is from RNAcentral.
AGACACGAUAACAUCAAGAGGCCCUUGGACAUUUGGUUGAAGAAACUAUACCUUUGAGUCGAGCCUAGUAACUUAGUUUAAUUUUAAAUGUUGAAGCAAUCAAAUCUAGAGAGCCUUUAUUUGUUGACAUGUAAACUUGUGAUAGUGAGAUAUAUCCAAACUAAAAGAGGGUGAGGACUACAGUUACCUAAAAUCCUAACUUUAAAACACAACCUGGGGAUAACUGAGUGAAAAGAAUAAGUUUGGGGGGUUGUGUACCUCUCGAGCGAAGUAAUGACAUAUUUGACCACAUCAUAAAAUAAAUAUGUUAGCAUGAUUUCACACACGCACGUCGGGUAUGCAAUUAACAGGUAAAGGUUGAUUUCAUACUUUCACUAAUCAAAAAAUUUUUUGAAGUCAAAUAUUUAGUCCAAUCCCGAGACACGGCAGGCUAUUAAGCCAUGUUUAUUUAGUAUUGAGUCACUAUCUUGUUUGAGGACAAACAAUAUUUCAACUUUAGGGGGUGGUUUGAUAUGUGUAUUUUUAUAUAUUUACUUAGUUCACAGGCAUGACUUAAUUAUGAUCAAAAAGUUUGAAUUAUGGCUUAAUUCAAUGUAAUUAUGUUUUGUAGGACUAUAUUAAUGAAUGUGAUGGAAUUCAAGAAAAAAGAAACGAAAAAGAACCAAAAAGGAAGAAAAUCCAAAGUAUGAGGACUAAGUUGCAACAUUUCAAUAGUUGAUUUUGAACACAAAAUGAAGAUUAAAGAUGUUGCAGGUUCAAUUGGAUGCAAUUAAAAGUCAAAGGGUUGAAAAUACAAGAGAAAGGACUUGAAAGAAUCAAAAAUCGACUUCGGGGGUUAAAAUGCAACAUAUGGAAAAAAUUUUGCCUGGGCGAUCGCUCAAAAUGAUUUUUUAAUUACCGAGAAGAAAUUCUAGACCUGAGCAACUGCCCGAGUUUCGCCUGGACAACAGCCCAAACCAAUCGCGGCGAGAAAAUCUGGUUUCCUUUUCUGAAUGAAAUUCUUAUGGAAACAGAUUUUGGAGAGUCUUUUAAAGCCCUAGGGACGUCCAAAAAUAGACACCAAGCAUUAUGACCCGGUCAAAAGGAAUUUUGAGAGAGGAGGAAAGGGAAGAACAAGAAGAUUCAAUCCAAGAUUCAAUGUCUUACUUCAAGAAUUUCAA